CACGCUGUAAACGAUGAAUACUAGGUGUGGGGGGACUGACCCCUUCCGUGCCGCAGUUAACACAAUAAGUAUUCCACCUGGGGAGUACGAUCGCAAGAUUGAAACUCAAAGGAAUUGACG
RNAcentral lists this ribosomal RNA (120 nucleotides) under uncultured bacterium. RNAcentral describes it as "partial 16S ribosomal RNA". It matches the Rfam family "Bacterial small subunit ribosomal RNA", at positions 796 to 915 of the family's 1533-position model. The record is from RNAcentral.